This 2026-nucleotide long non-coding RNA is filed under the name Homo sapiens (human). Its description in RNAcentral is "non-protein coding LINC00355:7". Lineage: Eukaryota; Metazoa; Chordata; Mammalia; Primates; Hominidae. The record is from RNAcentral.
AGUGUGAGACGUGUAGCUAGGGCUGUGCACUCCACAGAGCUGGUGGGAGCUGGGAAUAGGUGAAAACCCUGCCUCCUUGUGAGUUGGCAGGACGGGAGCCUCCUGUUCCCUGGCUGCUGUUGUGGCCACCGAGCCGCAGCCCUGGAGCCAGGCAUCCCUGUGCUUGGGGAUCAGAGCGAGCAGGAGCAGAUCCUCUCCCUUCUGGGUGCAGCUGCAGCUGCCCAGCCAUGGCUGUGGUCCCGGAAGUCUCUGUGCUCUUGGGAGCUGGGAGGGCCCUCUGCCUCCUGCCCCUUACGCACUCCAGAGUCUCCUCUCUGUUGAGAGCUAAGCAGACAUCAGGACUACCAGCUGCAGAGAGGAGCUACCCACUGUGGGCUUCGUCUCUGCUGAGAGCUGAACACUCACUGGGACGCCCUGCCUAUGGAAACCAGCUGUUCACUCUGGGUCUCCUCUGAGCUGUUCUGUCGCUCAGUAAAGGUCUUCUUCUGCUUACUCGCCCUCCAUUUGUCUGCCUUACCUCAUUCAUCCUGGACACAGGACAAGAACUUGGGACUUGCCGGUAUGGUGGAGCUAAAAUAGCUGUAACACAAACAGGAUUGAAACAUGCCCCUUGCUCGCCACAUUGUGGAUGACAAGAGGGAGGGAAGAAAGGAGAGAAGAUCUGCGACCCUUCGGCAAACCCAGACUUAGGAGAUCGGAGAGCCAAGACUGUGACACCCUUUCUGGGGCUCUGUGGUUCCUGGCGUCUCCAAGCUUCUGGGCACCUCGGCUUUCCCCGGUGCCAGUCGUGGAAGCUGCUUGUGGCCUCCAUUUGCUGUUUGGGAAACUCUCUACGCUAUGAAUGUUAGCUGGCAGCAAACACUGCCUCCCACUACAGGGGCACACAGUGUUGGUGCCUGCUUUUCCACCCUCCACUUCCAACAGGAAGCAAGCACAGGACCCAAGCAUUGCAGACAGUUGUAUCACGCCAAUGUGCAUUCGGAGCCACUGACAGGUGUUUUAAGAGCGGCUUAAGCAAAUCCCUUAUUGAGGUAAAGUGUUAAACCCUAUAGUGUUGGCAGGGGAUGUACUGGAUUAGGAACUUAUACCUGCUUAGGCAAUCUAAAGACAAGAAACUCAUCUUCAGGCGUCAGAAGAAAUUUAGAAAAAUGAAUGAGAAAGAGCAAGAGAGUGAAAGCGAGUGAGAAGAGAGUAAGAGAAAGAGACUGAGAGCAUGCGUGAGAGAGAGAUACCCAUAGUCAGGGGCCUCUUCAUGGGUGACAACCAGCGCAGUCUGACAGGGCUCCACAUUCAAGAGAUACCUGAACUACCAGGGGCUUAAUGCUGUGAGACUGACAUAUUGAAACUCUUAAUAGUGACAUUUAUGUUUUUAAAGGUAAGUCCCUAGGAAAGCGGUUCUGGAGCUUCACAUGUGGCCCUGCCUUCCAAUGCCUGCUUGAGAUGGGUUCUUGGUAGCUAGCUUUUUACCUACCACUUUUCACCUCUGCCCAGCUUCCACUGUCACUGACUGCUCAGAAUGAACUCCAGCUUGUAUUGACACGGGAAGCCCUGUGGUCUUCCACUGCUGUCUGCCUUAAUAGGUAACUUGAACACAUUCAUGGAAAUUUGCAGGGUUUGGUGGACACAUACUGUGACAUCUUGGGAUGAGGCAUGCUGCAGUUAUCCCUGCUCUGGGCUGUCAGUGCCAAAGUGCAUUCAGACAUUGACUUGAAGGGGCAAGUUGUUAUCUACCCCUGAUCCAAGGUUUUAUUACAGCUUGGUAUAGAGAUUGCAAUUCCUUGGUGGUUUGCUUGUCAGCCUUGGGUAGUGUGGUGGGUCCAUCCCAACCCAGCACACUGUGUAUCUGACUAAAAGCUUGAAGAGAGGAAAGCCAGCAGGCAGUGGGCUUUUCCUUGAGUUGUGUUGCAGGCCCCCAGGUACCUGUGAGGAUCUGCAUGCAUUCCAUAAGUAUCCCCAUGUGUGAGGGAGCUCAAUGUUAAACAGCAAUUUUUUAAAAAAAUGACAGGUAGAGAGACUGUGGAAGAGG